Molecule: long non-coding RNA, 1000 nt
Organism: Drosophila subpulchrella
Lineage: Eukaryota; Metazoa; Arthropoda; Insecta; Diptera; Drosophilidae
Exons: 4
Source: RefSeq, a predicted model, not a curated record
GCCCAGUGGAUCGGAGCGCGACGAAAGGUCUGGUGGGUGGCUCAGAGAAUUCCAAGGGGGAAAGGCUUUGCAGAAAUAAGUUAAGGUGGAAGAACCGGGAAGUGCACCUAGGGCCACGUUCAGUAGUCUUCAUUACAUCUGCGAGGUGCGUCGAAUGGCAAAAGAGAAAGAUGACUAGUGGCGAAAUGGACACUUAAACUGGCCAACCAGCCAGCCAAACAGGCGGCGAGCAGGCAAUUAACCGAUUUUUAAAUAUGUUUGGCCGGCUUUAUGACUCGAUUACAGCUGCCCAAGACCGGAGCUCAGGGCCAAGAGCAGAACUUUUCACGAGCGUUGUAAAUGCGAUUUAUUUCGAUUAUGGAAAGUCGCUGAUUUGGAACUAAUUGCCAAAAGGAUUGGCACCUCGACUUGUAAAAGAGGCUUGAGUGGCUGAGCCUACAGUGCGAUAUAGAGGUGAUCACUUAAAUUGAACACAAAAGAACCUAAUUAAAAGUAUAAUUUAGAAUUUUAGAUUCUUUAGAAAUACUUUUGAACUGAACUGGAGUUUUUAUUGCCACAUAAGCAGUCACUCAAGUUAUUUCUGAUGGACACACAGAAUUGGUCUGAACAUUAAGUAAAAGCUUUUACUUGUAUUUCUUGGGAGUGGGCACCAACAUAUCGCUGGUUUGCUUUAAACUUAGCCUAAAGUGCAUUGCAACAGAGGUAAUCGACUGGUUAAGGAGAGAAUCUUAAGGUUGUUCAAAAAUAAGUUAAUCAGGCUAUUACCAACAUAAAUCAAGCUCCACUAGUUAUCCUCAGUGGGCAAACCUAUCUCGUAACUCAAAGGCAGAUCGGGGCAGCGCCUAUUCCGUGGUCAAUUAGGUAUUGAAAUUAUUACAGAGCACUUGGCAUUCAUAUUCAGGCAUUUCGCAUUCGAUCGAACUCGAAUUGUCGCCGCGAAUUGUCAUAACUCUCGAUGUCGUCGCAUAACUCACCCGAUAUCUGGAUAUCUGGAUGCUCG